This 440-nucleotide ribosomal RNA is filed under the name uncultured bacterium. RNAcentral's name for it is "partial 16S ribosomal RNA". It matches the Rfam family "Bacterial small subunit ribosomal RNA", at positions 338 to 795 of the family's 1533-position model. The record is from RNAcentral.
CCUACGGGAGGCAGCAGUGGGGAAUAUUGCGCAAUGGGGGGAACCCUGAUGCAGCGACGCCGCGUGAGUGAAGAAGUAUUUCGGUAUGUAAAGCUCUAUCAGCAGGGAAGAAAAUGACGGUACCUGAUUAAGAAGCCCCGGCUAACUACGUACCAGCAGCCGCCGUACUACGUAGGGGGCAAGCGUUAUCCGGAUUUACUGGGGUCAAAGGGAGCGGCGACGGUAGAGCAAGUCUGAAGUGAAAUGACCGGGCUUAAACAUGGAACUGCUUUGGAAACUGUGCAGCUAGAGUGCAGGAGAGGUAAGUGGAAUUCCUAGUGUAGCGGUGAAAUGCGUAGAUAUUAGGAGGAACACCAGUGGCGAAGGCGGCUUACUGGACUGUAACUAACGUUGAGGCCCGAAAGCGUGGGGAGCAAACAGGAUUAGAUACCCCAGUAGUC